RNAcentral lists this ribosomal RNA (386 nucleotides) under Shinella zoogloeoides. RNAcentral describes it as "bacterial SSU rRNA". It matches the Rfam family "Bacterial small subunit ribosomal RNA", at positions 386 to 789 of the family's 1533-position model. The record is from RNAcentral. Lineage: Bacteria; Pseudomonadati; Pseudomonadota; Alphaproteobacteria; Hyphomicrobiales; Rhizobiaceae.
AUCCAGCCAUGCCGCGUGAGUGAUGAAGGCCCUAGGGUUGUAAAGCUCUUUCACCGGUGAAGAUAAUGACGGUAACCGGAGAAGAAGCCCCGGCUAACUUCGUGCCAGCAGCCGCGGUAAUACGAAGGGGGCUAGCGUUGUUCGGAAUUACUGGGCGUAAAGCGCACGUAGGCGGGUAUUUAAGUCAGGGGUGAAAUCCCGGAGCUCAACUCCGGAACUGCCUUUGAUACUGGGUACCUAGAGUAUGGAAGAGGUAAGUGGAAUUCCGAGUGUAGAGGUGAAAUUCGUAGAUAUUCGGAGGAACACCAGUGGCGAAGGCGGCUUACUGGUCCAUUACUGACGCUGAGGUGCGAAAGCGUGGGGAGCAAACAGGAUUAGAUACCCUG